GACGUAGGGCGCGAGCGUUGUCCGGAUUUAUUGGGCGUAAAGAGCUCGUAGGCGGCUUGUCGCGUCGAAUGUGAAAACCUGCAGCUUAACUGCAGGCUUGCAUUCGAUACUGGCAGGCUUGAAUCCGGGAGAGGGAUGCGGAAUUCCAGGUGUAGCGGUGAAAUGCGUAGAUAUCUGGAGGAACACCGGUGGCGAAGGCGGCAUCCUGGACCGGCAUUGACGCUGAGGCGCGAAGCCAGGGGAGCAAACGGG
RNAcentral lists this ribosomal RNA (252 nucleotides) under uncultured bacterium. RNAcentral's name for it is "partial 16S ribosomal RNA". It matches the Rfam family "Bacterial small subunit ribosomal RNA", at positions 524 to 776 of the family's 1533-position model. The record is from RNAcentral.